GACGAACGCUGGCGGCGUGCUUAACACAUGCAAGUCGAACGGAAAGGCCCUGCUUUUGUGGUGUGCUCGAGUGGCGAACGGGUGAGUAACACGUGAGUAACCUGCCCUUGACUUUGGGAUAACUUCAGGAAACUGGGGCUAAUACCGGAUAGGAGCUCCUGCUGCAUGGUGGGGGUUGGAAAGUUUCUGCGGUUGGGGAUGGACUCGCGGCUUAUCAGCUUGUUGGUGGGGUAGUGGCUUACCAAGGCUUUGACGGGUAGCCGGCCUGGGGGGGUGACCGGCCACAUUGGGACUGAGCUACGGCCCAGACUCCUACGGGAGGCAGCAGUGGGGAAUAUUGCACAAUGGGCGGAAGCCUGAUGCAGCAACGCCGCGUGCGGGAUGACGGCCUUCGGGUUGUAAACCGCUUUCGCCUGUGACGAAGCGUGAGUGACGGUAAUGGGUAAAGAAGCACCGGCUAACUACGUG
This 468-nucleotide ribosomal RNA is filed under the name uncultured bacterium. Its description in RNAcentral is "partial 16S ribosomal RNA". It matches the Rfam family "Bacterial small subunit ribosomal RNA", at positions 28 to 507 of the family's 1533-position model. The record is from RNAcentral.